RNAcentral lists this long non-coding RNA (1351 nucleotides) under Anser brachyrhynchus (Pink-footed goose). RNAcentral's name for it is "lncRNA (ENSABRG00000007107.1)". The record is from RNAcentral. Lineage: Eukaryota; Metazoa; Chordata; Aves; Anseriformes; Anatidae.
AUGCUGCUUCUCAGGACCACGUGUGCCACCACCUGCCUGCCGCUUCGCCGGCCGCGGCGCUGCCUGGGACGGGGCCAUCCCCCUCCCGCACGCAUGGAGCCACCACGGGCAGGCAGGAGGGCGAAGCAGUGCCUGCUGCUGCCCCCCCCGCCCACCCUUUUAGCCCCAGGACACCCCCGUUUUUCAGGACAGGCUGGGGCCCCCCCUGUGCCAACCCCCCGAGCCCCGAGGUGCUGCCGUGCGCAUCCCGGGGCAGAGCUGGACCAUUUACUGCAGCAGCAUCGCACAGUUUCUGGGAGCAGCCACGUGCACGCCAUCCCGGUUCGGUUUUUGCCCUUGGCAGCGGGUAACAACCUGCGCCCCGAGCUGGCUCCGCAGGAGCAGCGCCCGCUUCGAGCAGCAGCACUGCCCCGAGCAGGAGCUGCACAGCCUCUUCCCUCCCCUCCGCCUCCCCACCUCUGUGUUAACCUUUUUGGCUCCUUUAUUAAAGCAACUGAACAGUUUAUACUCUUUUUUUUUUUUUUUUCCUGUGUGGUUCUCGCUGUAAUCUGCCUUGAAUAUUUGAUGUGGAAUCCCUUGCGAGAGCAAGAAGUGUUUUUAUGGGCGCUNUUUUUCCUGUGUGGUUCUCGCUGUAAUCUGCCUUGAAUAUUUGAUGUGGAAUCCCUUGCGAGAGCAAGAAGUGUUUUUAUGGGCGCUAGAGGAAAACUCUUGCAAAGAAGAAGUGGUAAUGAGUACCCCUGAGUACCCUCUCGGUUUCACAACUGCCUGUGUUUAAAAAUGAGCAGAAAUUGGGCAAGUGGUUCUCACCAGGGAGCGCAGCCGCCUCUCGCUCCCAGCAAUGCUCUGCGUUGCAGGAGCCCAGCACGGGCGAGCAACACUUGUUUAUUCCAAUUGAAGCUGACACCAGAAGCAGUCCAGACCAACCAGAUGAGCUCAUGUGUGUCCCGCUUUAUUUCCAACCCAGAUUAACAGCAUCUCUUUAAUUUCUAAUGGCCUAUUCUGGGAUUUGCAGGCAAUGUUCAAACAGCACCGAGGGCUGUGUCUCCGCGUGCCCCUCGGCUCGCGUAUUCCCUCCGUGCCCGACGUCACAGGUUUGCACAAAGCAAGAGCUCUCAUCCCAAUUACACGGGAUGAACUCGCAGGAAGCUUUUCAUCACACGCACACACAUCUUUUUCGUACCCAGGUCUCUGAAUUUAACACAGCAGACACGAUCCCUCUCCUUUUCAAAGAGAAAAUAUUCCUUUUCAUUUCCAGCCCCCUCUCCAUCAUAACCCAGAGCAAACUCGGCGCAGAGCUGCACAGUGGCUCUGUGGCUCGGCGUCUGAAUAAACAGCUUGGAGAAGUCCUGCA